RNAcentral lists this small nuclear RNA (106 nucleotides) under Otolemur garnettii (small-eared galago). Lineage: Eukaryota; Metazoa; Chordata; Mammalia; Primates; Galagidae. The record is from RNAcentral.
GUGCUUGAUUCAACAGCACAUACAUUAAAAUUGGAAUGACAGGGAAGUUUAACAUGCUCCCUGCGAAAGGCAUGCAUACGAAGUGUUACAUUGGAAAACAAUAUUA